UACGGAGGGUGCGAGCGUUGUUCGGAAUUACUGGGCGUAAAGGGCGUGUAGGCGGCCUGAAAAGUCAGAUGUGAAAGCCCUGGGCUCAACCCAGGAAGUGCAUUUGAAACUGCCGGGCUAGAGUAUGGGAGAGGAGAGUGGAAUUCCCAGUGUAGAGGUGAAAUUCGUAGAUAUUGGGAGGAACACCGGUGGCGAAGGCGACUCUCUGGACCAAUACUGACGCUGAGACGCGAAAGCGUGGGUAGCAAACAGG
RNAcentral lists this ribosomal RNA (253 nucleotides) under uncultured prokaryote. RNAcentral describes it as "partial 16S ribosomal RNA". It matches the Rfam family "Bacterial small subunit ribosomal RNA", at positions 524 to 776 of the family's 1533-position model. The record is from RNAcentral.